This 61-nucleotide transfer RNA is filed under the name Ictidomys tridecemlineatus (thirteen-lined ground squirrel). RNAcentral's name for it is "Spermophilus tridecemlineatus (thirteen-lined ground squirrel) tRNA". It matches the Rfam family "tRNA", at positions 6 to 65 of the family's 71-position model. Rfam says of the family: Transfer RNA (tRNA) molecules are approximately 80 nucleotides in length. Their secondary structure includes four short double-helical elements and three loops (D, anti-codon, and T loops). Further hydrogen bonds mediate the characteristic L-shaped molecular structure. tRNAs have two regions of fundamental functional importance: the anti-codon, which is responsible for specific mRNA codon recognition, and the 3' end, to which the tRNAs corresponding amino acid is attached (by aminoacyl-tRNA synthetases). tRNAs cope with the degeneracy of the genetic code in two manners: having more than one tRNA (with a specific anti-codon) for a particular amino acid; and 'wobble' base-pairing, i.e. permitting non-standard base-pairing at the 3rd anti-codon position. The record is from Rfam by way of RNAcentral. Lineage: Eukaryota; Metazoa; Chordata; Mammalia; Rodentia; Sciuridae.
UGUAACUCAGUGGUAGAGUUCUUGCUUAGCAAGCAUAAGGCCCUGGGUUGUAUCCCCAGCA